RNAcentral lists this transfer RNA (76 nucleotides) under Pseudomonadota bacterium. RNAcentral describes it as "tRNA-Thr". It matches the Rfam family "tRNA". From Rfam's summary of the family: Transfer RNA (tRNA) molecules are approximately 80 nucleotides in length. Their secondary structure includes four short double-helical elements and three loops (D, anti-codon, and T loops). Further hydrogen bonds mediate the characteristic L-shaped molecular structure. tRNAs have two regions of fundamental functional importance: the anti-codon, which is responsible for specific mRNA codon recognition, and the 3' end, to which the tRNAs corresponding amino acid is attached (by aminoacyl-tRNA synthetases). tRNAs cope with the degeneracy of the genetic code in two manners: having more than one tRNA (with a specific anti-codon) for a particular amino acid; and 'wobble' base-pairing, i.e. permitting non-standard base-pairing at the 3rd anti-codon position. The record is from RNAcentral. RNAcentral also lists the same sequence under 1 other name. Lineage: Bacteria; Pseudomonadati; Pseudomonadota.
GCCGGCGUAGCUCAGUCGGUAGAGCGGCUGAUUCGUAAUCAGCAGGUCAGGGGUUCGAAUCCCCUCGCCGGCUCCA